GUGAGGAAUUUUCCGCAAUGGGCGAAAGCCUGACGGAGCAAUGCCGCGUGAAGGAUGAAGGCCUAUGGGUUGUAAACUUCUUUUCUCAGAAAAGAAUUAUGACGGUAUCUGAGGAAUAAGCAUCGGCUAACUCUGUGCCAGCAGCCGCGGUAAGACAGAGGAUGCAAGCGUUAUCCGGAAUGAUUGGGCGUAAAGCGUCUGUAGGUUGUUUAAAAAGUAUUCUGUCAAAGAUUAGGGCUUAACCCUAGAUAGGCAGAAUAAACUUUUAAGCUAGAGUGUGGUAGAGGCAGAGGGAAUUCCCGGUGGAGCGGUGAAAUGCGUAGAUAUCGGGAGGAACACCAAAGGCGAAGGCACUCUGCUGGGCCAAUACUAACACUGAGAGAUGAAAGCGAGGGGAGCAAAUGGGAUUAGAUACCCUUGUAGUCC
This 426-nucleotide ribosomal RNA is filed under the name uncultured bacterium. Its description in RNAcentral is "bacterial SSU rRNA". It matches the Rfam family "Bacterial small subunit ribosomal RNA", at positions 354 to 796 of the family's 1533-position model. The record is from RNAcentral.